AGAGUUUGAUCCUGGCUCAGAACGAACGCUGGCGGCAGGCCUAACACAUGCAAGUCGAGCGCGCCCUUCGGGGUGAGCGGCGGACGGGUUAGUAACGCGUGGGAAUAUGCCCAAAGGUACGGAAUAGCCUCUGGAAACGGAGAGUAAUACCGUAUGUGCCCUUCGGGGGAAAGAUUUAUCGCCUUUGGAUUAGCCCGCGUUAGAUUAGGUAGUUGGUGGGGUAAUGGCCUACCAAGCCUACGAUCUAUAGCUGGUUUUAGAGGAUGAUCAGCAACACUGGGACUGAGACACGGCCCAGACUCCUACGGGAGGCAGCAGUGGGGAAUCUUGGACAAUGGGGGCAACCCUGAUCCAGCCAUGCCGCGUGAGUGAUGAAGGCCUUAGGGUCGUAAAGCUCUUUCGCCUGUGAAGAUAAUGACGGUAGCAGGUAAAGAAACCCCGGCUAACUCCGUGCCAGCAGCCGCGGUAAUACGGAGGGGGUCAGCGUUGUUCGGAAUUACUGGGCGUAAAGCGCACGUAGGCGGAUCGGAAAGUUGGGGGUGAAAUCCCGGGGCUCAACCCCGGAACUGCCUCCAAAACUAUCGGUCUAGAGUUCGAGAGAGGUGAGUGGAAUUCCGAGUGUAGAGGUGAAAUUCGUAGAUAUUCGGAGGAACACCAGUGGCGAAGGC
This 668-nucleotide ribosomal RNA is filed under the name uncultured Alphaproteobacteria bacterium. RNAcentral's name for it is "bacterial SSU rRNA". It matches the Rfam family "Bacterial small subunit ribosomal RNA", at positions 8 to 722 of the family's 1533-position model. Lineage: Bacteria; Pseudomonadati; Pseudomonadota; Alphaproteobacteria. The record is from RNAcentral.